RNAcentral lists this long non-coding RNA (401 nucleotides) under Homo sapiens (human). RNAcentral describes it as "HSALNT0067535". The record is from RNAcentral. Lineage: Eukaryota; Metazoa; Chordata; Mammalia; Primates; Hominidae.
GCCACAGAUUCAUCAGCUGAAAACAUGCGGGAGGACUGGGCCCACUGGCCUUCCCACUGUCAUUCACCACCACCAGCCCUUUGAGAGCCUGCCAUUCUGGAACCUUCUUUUCCAGCCACAGUCUUAAGAUGAUGAGCAACCUCUGCAGAAAGAAUGUAAAGUUACAACACGCACACAGAUCCCAUCAAGAUGAGAGUGAGUGGAGAUGAUGCCCUAUUUCCAAGCAGCUCAGAGUGCAUGUGUGCCAGACACGAGCGGACUGCCGGAGAUAGCUGACACAGAUCCGAGGACACAGAAGGAGGCUCUUUAAAAAGCCAGAGCAACAGCUAGCAUGUGAGAGGUCUGAUUAAUCCACCAAGGGCUUAUCUAUGCAUCAACAAACAGCGAUGGUCUGUGUCUUG